ACGAUACUCCUUCCGUCCUAAAAUUCUUGUCUUAGAUUUGUCUAAAUACGGAUAUAUCAAGUCACAUUUUAGUAUUAGAUACAUCCGUCUCUAGACAAAUCUAAGACAAGAAUUUUGAGACGAAGGGAGUAUAAU
Triticum aestivum (bread wheat) is the source of this 135-nucleotide non-coding RNA. The record is from Rfam. NCBI's taxonomy places the organism in Eukaryota, Viridiplantae, Streptophyta, Magnoliopsida, Poales, Poaceae.